GGGUCAGUAGGUUGGUCGUGCCACCGGUACGUACUGGUCUCACUGAUUCCUCCUUCCUGAAGAACCGUAAUGCCAUUAAUUUGGUGUUGCGGGGAAACAGGACUGUUACUUUGAAAAAAUUAGAGUGUUUAAAGCAAGCUAACGCUUGAAUACAUUAGCAUGGAGUAAUGAAAUAGGACGAUCGAUCCUAUUUUGCUGGUUUCUAGGAUUGACGUA
This 216-nucleotide ribosomal RNA is filed under the name Glomeromycotina sp. RNAcentral's name for it is "partial small subunit ribosomal RNA". The stretch from base 40 to 216 matches the Rfam family "Eukaryotic small subunit ribosomal RNA", at positions 686 to 864 of the family's 1831-position model. Lineage: Eukaryota; Fungi; Glomeromycota. The record is from RNAcentral.